UUCCGGUUGAUCCUGCCGGACCUGACUGCUAUCGGAUUGAUACUAAGCCAUGCGAGUCUUUGUAGUAAUACAAGGCGUACGGCUCAGUAACGCGUAGUCAACCUACCCUAUGGAUGGGGAUAAUCUCGGGAAACUGAGCAUAAUACCCAAUAGAUCAUCAAUUCUGGAAUGGUUGAUGAUUCAAAUGAUUUUUCGCCAUAGGAUGGGACUGCGGCCUAUCAGCUUGUUGGUGAGGUAAUGGCCCACCAAGGCAAUUACAGGUACGGGCUCUGAGAGGAGAAGCCCGGAGAUGGGUACUGAGACAAGGACCCAGGCCCUAUGGGGCGCAGCAGGCGAGAAAACUUUGCAAUGUGCGAAAGCACGACAAGGUUAAUCCGAGUGAUUUCUGCUAAAGGAAUCUUUUACCAGUUCUAAAAAUACUGGCGAAUAAGGGGUGGGCAAGUUCUGGUGUCAGCCGCCGCGGUAAAACCAGCACCUCAAGUGGUCAGGAGGAUUAUUGGGCCUAAAGCAUCCGUAGCCGGCUCUGUAAGUUUUCGGUUAAAUCUAUAUGCUCAACGUAUAGGCUGCCGAAAAUACUGCACAGCUAGGGAAUGGGAGAGGUAGACGGUACUCGGUAGGAAGGGGUAAAAUCCUUUGAUCUAUCGAUGACCACCUGUGGCGAAGGCGGUCUACCAGAACAUGUUCGACGGUGAGGGAUGAAAGCUGGGGGAGCAAACCGGAUUAGAUACCCGGGUAGUCCCAGCUGUAAACGAUGCAGACUCGAUAAUGCAUUGGCACAUAGCCAGUGCAGUGUCGCAGGGAAGCCGUUAAGUCUGCCGCCUGGGAAGUACGUACGCAAGUAUGAAACUUAAAGGAAUUGGCGGGGGAGCACCACAAGGGGUGAAGCCUGCGGUUCAAUUGGAGUCAACGCCGGG
RNAcentral lists this ribosomal RNA (914 nucleotides) under uncultured archaeon. RNAcentral describes it as "bacterial SSU rRNA". It matches the Rfam family "Archaeal small subunit ribosomal RNA", at positions 1 to 922 of the family's 1478-position model. The record is from RNAcentral.